AAAUUGAAGAGUUUGAUCAUGGCUCAGAUUGAACGCUGGCGGCAGGCCUAACACAUGCAAGUCGAACGGUAGCACAGAGAGCUUGCUCUCGGGUGACGAGUGGCGGACGGGUGAGUAAUGUCUGG
This 125-nucleotide ribosomal RNA is filed under the name Klebsiella oxytoca. Its description in RNAcentral is "partial 16S ribosomal RNA". It matches the Rfam family "Bacterial small subunit ribosomal RNA", at positions 1 to 120 of the family's 1533-position model. Lineage: Bacteria; Pseudomonadati; Pseudomonadota; Gammaproteobacteria; Enterobacterales; Enterobacteriaceae. RNAcentral also lists the same sequence under 7 other names. The record is from RNAcentral.